This is an unclassified non-coding RNA of Acromyrmex echinatior (Panamanian leafcutter ant), 4323 nucleotides long. Lineage: Eukaryota; Metazoa; Arthropoda; Insecta; Hymenoptera; Formicidae. The record is from RefSeq and is a predicted model, not a curated record.
ACGCUUUAACCCGCGAUCCGCGAGGCGGACGGCAUUCGCCAGGAACGCCGCUGGUGCUCGUACGCGUGAGGAGGAGGAGGAGGCCCCGCAAACAUCUGUCCUGGUCCCCCGGUCCGUCGCGCCUUCAUCGCGACAUCGUUCUUCUUCUAAGAUCGUAGGAUCAACAGGAUCAUCGUGAUCCAGUCGUGGCGACCGGUGUAUGUGUGCGUGUGUAUGUGUGUGUGUUCCAUGUAUUCAGGAAGGAUCGACAGCGGCGGAUCGAUUAUUGAUAUACCACGACGAGGAGUCGCGCGUGCAACGGGAAUUUCGAGAUCGCGGCACAACCGAUGUCGAUGCCAAGAAUUCGGCAACCAGUUGCGGAUGUGAGUUGGUGUUAAGGCAGAUCCGUUUAGUGUUACCGCGAAUGAUACUUCGGCGCAGGAGCCAGGUGGGACGACAGGUAGAUCGCGUCAAGACGCUAUCAGGAUUCAUCGGCGGAGGCUCGCACGGAUUUUGAAUCUCCAAGAGUGCGCCAAGUAUUUUAUUCUUCCGAUAGAGACAGGUACAGACACCUCGGUGGAUCGAUCUAGAGCGCGUGGCAAAUCGUCAAGUGUCUCGACCGCUGUUGAUUGCGAAUGCCUGACGAUAGUAAUUGCGCAACGGCCAACAUCUCGGAUGAAAAGCGCCUUCUUUAGCGAAGAAAAUGUUGACAAUUGUGGCUUCCUUUAGCAUUAUUUGCGAUCAGUCUUAAAGCUGGUGAAUCAUUAGGUAGAGGAUAGAAACAAUCGUGUCAUGUCGAUCUGCUUGUCAUGUAAGUUUAACAUACGCGAUAUCGAAUUCCUUUGACUCGAUAUCCGUCGUUCAAAUAUCACAACGUGCGCCUUACCGAUAUAUAAAAAAAAAAAAAUAAUAAUAAACGAAAACGAACGACAGGCCUAACUUGGGAUCAACAGAUUAACAAUUUCGAAAAUAGCACGCGACUUUUCUAACGCGUUUGAGGAUCACCAGCCUUCUCGACGAUUUUUCAUAUAUGUGCGCGGGGCUGCUACGCGCGCGCAUUAUCGAAAUGCACGAUUUCCUGCAAAACGGCAGCAGCUGAAAGGUCGUGAUCGAUCGACUCAAUUUGAUAACCCAAAGGAACCUUAAAGUGUGCAAGGUCGUUAUGUAUAGUGAUAAAGCAGGGACUUUCCACGGCUGAAAAGUCAAGAGGGUGAAUCAAGGAGAGGUACCGUAGUACGUGGCCUAUCUACACACGAUGCCGAGAUUUACAAGUGCCCACUCGAGUAACUUGAGAAGAUGCUGACGCGGCGGUAAUCAAAUUCAUUCGAAUCCUGUUCGCGUAAUGUCGAGCCAAGGCCAUCGCGAGAAAGCGUGCUUGGAACUUUGCGAAGCGCGCAGCAUCGAUUGCAAGAUCUUCACGAUGCCCCACGUGAUUUCGAAAGGAGAUCCGCGACGACAGAGCGUAAAUCAGUGAAACAAUAACACGGGAUCCGUCGAUCGAGAGUAAGAAUAACGCAAGUUGCACCUUCGGCGCAAAUUAUAUCCUAAUUUUUUGUAUCGAGCAACUCAUAUCGUUCGAUGAAAUCCCAUCGGUCUACAUAGUUACCUGACGAUUAUACAUCGAAUUUCGAAACGCAAACAAGUUAGGAAACGGCCUUGCUCAAUGCUUCCUAGCGAAAGACGGAAUCGCAAUCAAGUUCACUUGAUCUCUGAUACCCUGCCGGACAAAUCGUCCACGCGGAAACCGAUGAUCGAUGCAUGUCUGCUCGACAGUUGAUCCUGGAGGAUCAAAAAUCCCUUCCCUCCCCCUAUAAGUCACGUCUAACGAAGCGAUGAUCGGUCUGUAGAUCGGCGCGCUCGAUGAAUCGUCGCAGAAUCGAGCAUCGAACAGCAGCCAGCACCACCCGAAGAAGAAGAAGAAGAAGAAGAAGAAGAAGUCGUAGAAGGAGCUUAGCCGCGUAGCGUCGUCUCGAUUACGAGAGAGCCGUCCCGGGUGAUGCGCGGAAGCAGCUCCGAACUCCUGCUGGAGGCGAGCUGCAGCCAGUGCCAGAGCGAUUACGAUCGGGGACAUCAAGGUCGGGACAGCGGCGGCGAGCACGACUUCCACGAGCGGGAGCUACGUCGUCGCAAGCUGUUGGAGCUCGGGUUCGGCGCGUCGCGGCGCCGACCGCCACGGCGUACCUGCCGUCAGCGGUUUAAUUUCUACGCGACAUCGGCGCUGGCCUUCGUCGCCACCUCAGGCGGCGCGGCACUCCUCUUCCUGGUGCCGCUCUACGUCGACCCAGCCAUCAGCACCCUAGCGGCGGACUUCUCGCCGGAGCCGGUGAUCUGCACAACCUCGCGGCGCGAGGACCUUGCUGGUCUCUUCAACUGCACAUGGAGCUCGUGCCGCGAGGGAUGCACCAGUGAUGUGUACAGUUGCACCCACAUAUACGUCACGUACACGCCGUGGAGUAACGCCAGUAUGAAGAACGACACCGGCGGCAGGAACAUCACCGCGAACACCACGGCUGAUCUCACAGGCACCGUCACUGCCGUGUCCUCUCCGGGGGACAUCGAGGCGGUGCUGCUGGUGAACAUCAAGGGUUGCGGAUAUCCGCCGGUAGUCGAUUGCAAGAACUUCACCCGCGAGUUGGGUUACGAAGGCGCGAAGUUUCCUUGCCAUUAUAGCCGGGUGAACGGUAGCAUAGUGAUGGCGAACUAUAAUCGCGAGGCACAGGUCGCUACCAUCAUGCACUUCUUCGCGGCGCCUUUCGUAGUGACUCUCGCGACCAGCGUCGCGCUGUGUGUGAUGCACUGUGACUGCAGGUGCACGCCACCACCGCGACAUCCGCCGCGCGGCAUGAGAAGAUCCAGGGGCAACGACCUCAGCUGCUGCAUGAGUAUAAAAAAUCGAUAACGAGUUAGAAGUGUGCCAGAAGUCAUCCGAUUUAGAAGGUGUAUUUGACGAGGCAAAUAAACUUUCUAAACUGUACAUAAGACAAAGAUGACUUAACAAUGAUGUUACUACCACCGUACUUACUGUCGUCGUGAAACGAUGCUAAACUCUUUUGGCUGCAAAUACUGCCUUAGAAGAAAAGAGCGAAUUGCAGAAACGGAAAUCGGAUAUCGAUUCAUCAUCUCUCUCUUGUAAUCUCCGCUAAUUAGCUCCAAAAGGCGUAUUCAUCUCAUUAAACGAGUGCGCUGCCAAAAGCCGUGACGGCGCUCUCCGUGCAACGCAAUGAACAUGUAAAAAGAGAUCUCUAAUUGUCGAUCGGAUGCCGUAAGUAAUUCCGUGCACUCGGAGUAUAAUCGACAGCUCUCUCUCUCUCUCACGAACAUUGAUAUGUUGCGUGAACAAGUAUUGAGCAGCGCGUAACUCGUGUAACUCGCGUAAUCUGCCAAUUCUUCCGAAUGUCUUUUCUCCUCUCCCCUUAAUUUUUCUUCUCAAUUAAGUCGUUGAGCGAAACGAGUCAUAUAUAUUAAGUAAGUUACAUUUUUCUCAUUAAAGUAAGAGGUUUUGUAAAAGUGCCUCAUGUAAAAUCCUGUUAAUGUAUUAUAGCAAUUUUUCUAGAUGAACAGGACUGCCUAAAGUACUUGAAUAGAAUAUCUCAAUAAAACAACUUGAAAUAAAAAUACUAAAAAUUUAGAAUCACAUCAGAAUUAUCGACUGUCAUACUGCCUAAAAUAUACGACUUACAAUUAUUGACUUAUCGAAUCUGUCGAUCACUAUUUCGCUCAACUGCUGAAUUUUCGCUAUCGCAUGCCCCUUGCACAGAUCAAUGCUAUGUUAAGAGAAAUAAAAGGGACCAGACUGUUGAACCAAAAAAUCACGUGUCAUCAAGAAGCUAAUGUAUUAUAAUAACAGCCCGUACGGCAGCAAGAACGGAAAAAAUUAUAUGUAUUGUUAUUUCUAAAUGUAUUGUCAUCUCUCAUGCGUACUUUGUACACACCGAAGAAUCGUUGGAAAUGGACUUAUCGAGUUUUGCGCUACGACUCUACGAGGGUAAGAUAUUAAAUCCACAUCCAAGUAACGGCAAAUGUAAGAAGUUGAUGUGCGAUUGUAGCCAAAAAUCAUUUCUACUGUGAAAGCAUCGCGAUUCAACGAGACGCGCGUCUCGAGAGCUCAUUCCCUCUCCAAAAGCUACCUUGUUAUCUUUCUACUUUCGACCGUUUGUCAUUUCCACGACGAUGGUAUUAGAAGAGGAGGAUCGGGGGUGGCAAGGAUGACAGCUAGCAAAUGGCAGCCUCGGCUGUCAUACAUCAGAUUUGGAAUAACCGGCGACCCUGGCCGUGUUAUAUUUCUCUCUUUCUUCUAUUUCUCUCUCUCUCUCUCUCUCUCUCCCUUUCUCUCUCUCUCUCUCU